Molecule: long non-coding RNA, 1004 nt
Organism: Patella vulgata (common limpet)
Lineage: Eukaryota; Metazoa; Mollusca; Gastropoda; Patellidae
Exons: 3
Source: RefSeq, a predicted model, not a curated record
GUGUAUAUACGAUGUAUUUAUUGUAUAUACCUAUAUGUCCAAUGUUGAUGAUGAAUGCGCGCGUGUAUAUAUAUAUCGUUGUUUUAGUUUUAUAUAUAAGUUCACAUUAUACAUGACCUGUCAGUUGAAACUUUGCGUUCUACGUCAAUGGAAUGGUGGUUCAAAUUUAUUUUGACGUCUGCUUAUUGUGAGUGAGUUCACAGUGCGGAGUGUUAAACAGUUGUUGUGGGUAGAUUAAAAGUAUAUUGUGUUUAGGUCUUAGGAGCAAAAACACAACAUCUAAAAACGUUGUGGUUUGGAUAAAAUAACUGGUAAUCGACUUUAUCACAUAUACAGUGUCAGUAAUUUAAAGAAACUAACUUGUGGUUCCAGUGAUCAAAACUGCAUUGGCAGUGUUGAUUUGAAAUUGACUUUUGAAAGACUUAGAGUGGAGAUUCAGAAGGGUUCGGUAACAGUAUUGAUCCGAAUAUUUUUCUUAAUGGUUUUUAUUUCAAAUUUGCGAAACGUUACAUAAAACGUUUCACAGAUUUCUAUGAAUACAAUUUAAUAACUUCUGAAAAAAAUUUGGAACUUUGUUUAAUUCUUUGUUUAAACAUACACGUAUCAACCUAAAGCAGCAUCAUGGUUGUUGGAGUAGAUACCCCGAAAGCCGAAACAAAGGGGCAAAAACAAUUUACGGAAAGGACGGAAGAGCCAGCUCGAAAAGAUUCGUCAAAAACGAAGAAAUUUCUACGGAUUAGUCCGAAGUUAAAGAAGAAAUCGUCUCGGAAGGAGGACGAAACCAGUAUGAAAGACAUGGCCUCUCAGGGAAAAUCUAAAAAAUUAAACGACAAAAUACCAAACGGAUUAAAUGAUAAAGAAAGAUUAGAAUUAAAACAAACUUUUGAUUUAUUUGAUAAAAAUCAGGAUGGAAAAAUAUCUAGUGAGGAAUUAGGCUGUGUAUUAAGAACGCUAGGGCAUGAUUAUACAGCUAUAGAAAUAGAUGAAAUGAUUAAAAAUGCAGA